RNAcentral lists this transfer RNA (81 nucleotides) under Aureliella helgolandensis. It matches the Rfam family "tRNA". Rfam says of the family: Transfer RNA (tRNA) molecules are approximately 80 nucleotides in length. Their secondary structure includes four short double-helical elements and three loops (D, anti-codon, and T loops). Lineage: Bacteria; Pseudomonadati; Planctomycetota; Planctomycetia; Pirellulales; Pirellulaceae. The record is from Rfam by way of RNAcentral.
GGGAGGUUGCCCGAGUGGUUAAAGGGGACGGACUGUAAAUCCGUUACUUCGGUUACGCAGGUUCGAAUCCUGCACCUCCCA